RNAcentral lists this long non-coding RNA (569 nucleotides) under Ananas comosus (pineapple). RNAcentral describes it as "long non-coding RNA (ACOM_LNC003968)". Lineage: Eukaryota; Viridiplantae; Streptophyta; Magnoliopsida; Poales; Bromeliaceae. The record is from RNAcentral.
AUUGUGCAUGGUUAAAUGUAAUGGAGUCCGGCUAGUAUACUAUCUAUAGCAUGGAAGUCGUCGUGCUAUUAAGUUGUUUUCGAUAAUGCGGCUUCCAAAUCGACGAUCGAUUCUAUUAGACAACUUGAUCUAUACUAUUAAAAGUACUAGAAAACUAAAUUUCAUAACUUUUCGGCAUCAUUUUACUUAUCAAACGAGUAGUCUAAAAAUAAACGACUAAAAAUAAAAAUCUCAUAAAAAAUGAUGAAAAAGAUUUGAUUGUAAGACCAGAGAUACUGAUCUUAUAUAAAUAGUGAAGAAAUUUUUUUAUAAAAAUUUUAUCAGAUUUAAUUUGUUUUAUAUUGUUAAAUUCACAAACGCAUCACAUCGACCAGUAAAAUUGUCAAUUUGAGACCUUUUAAUCAUUAGUCAAAUAAUGUCAAAAAUUAUAAAAUUUAGUUUCUAAAUAUUUUCAAUAGCGUAGAUUAUGUCUAACGGAACCGAUCGUCGCUUCAGAAACCGCAUCAUCGAAAACAACUUGAUAGUACAGAAACUUUAAUGCUACCGAUAGUAUAGCAAUCUAGCUCCAC